GAUGGAGGUGGAGCCGCCGGGGCCGCUGCGGUAUCUGAUUGGGGCGGCGAUUAUGAUGGUCGGCGUGGUACUCCCGCUCGGGUACAUGAUGUUCUGCAUCAAGCGCGUUCCUUCGUCAUCCUCGACCUACUCCAAACAGACGACUAAAGGGCUGAUAUAGGGAUCAUCGGGAGCUUUUCUCUGCUGCCAAUGGUCAUCCCGUUACAGUGGAAUGAGGAAAUUACUGGCGAGUAUACCAUUAAUGAUGUUUCGAUAUUUUUGUUUUUUCCUUUCGUUGGUGUAUUUAGAGGUUUUUGUGUACUUUGUAUCUGAUUUUAGUUAGAAUAGAAAUUUCUAGCUGGAAAAUUUGCUUGUCAGUAUGGUUGGUUCCAGUCUCUACUAUGUCAUUGUCAAAAUGUUUGGUUGCUAAUUGCUUUGAUUCGAGUAAAAAUUAAGUCUUGAGAGGGAGGCCCAUUCGACUGGCUUAAUUAAAGAAUUGUUAUGACAUAGGUGACUAACUAGUUCAUUAGAUGUUGUCAAUGGAUAAACUGUAUCGCGAGUCAAAAAUAAUUUGGUGAUACAGGGAACAGACGGGGUGUGGCUACGCCAGUCGAUGAAUUGCUCUGAUAAUGUAUUGGGCAGGAGCUUCAUUGGGUUAUAGGUCCUCUUUCUCUAGAGAUGAAUGGUAUGGUGCUCUAGUAACCUUUGCUUCUGUCUGUCGGGAGGGAAGAAACCUAUUCAAGCAUUUCGUCUAUCAAAAGAGAUUGUGUUAUUCCUAGCCGUAGCACACAUCUCUUACCAUUCGUUUCAAGUCAGCAGCUGCCAACAUUGUUUUCGUGGUACCUUCUUUCUUUCCUGUUGUGCUAGGACUAAGGCCCUUUACAGAACGAGGCCCAUGCUUUGUGUAGCACUGGGGCAGGAAGAUAGGCUCUAGAUAGAUGCAGUAGUCGCUUUGAAGCAGGUUCAUCUAUCCAACCUGGCUCGGAUACCAGCUUGUUCCUCUUGGGAUUUCCCCCGUUUCAUCUGGCUGUGGCUUGAUACUGACUGUUGUAACAAUACUUGGCUGCUCAGAUUCAUAUUUACAGUCUAAUAUCUCGCUUUUAAGUUUUAUCUAUCUGAAAGUAAUAAGCAAGCUUCAAGCAUCUGAAACUAAAAAGUGAAGUCCUUGUUUUUCUAUUAUACACUAUAGGUGUAUGCUUGUUUUCCUUCUUUGACUACCCAUAUUGCUCCCUCUCAAUGAUAUAUUUUCUUUUCUGUUGAAUUAACUGGUUUUUGGUCAAUCAUUAUGAAUUUGUAACUUUUUUUUUUUUUGGGUUUCCACAUGAGAGUUAGGGCUUGUAUAUACGAAUGUGUCUCUAAAAAUUGAGCAAUAAUGUAACUCUGCCACUUAAUAGACAUCAGAGCAAUAUCUUCCCAAUAUAUUCCUGUUCUUUUCAUUACUAUAAGUAGUUGAUGAAUGCCCAAAUGUGCAUUUUAAACUUGGAGCAGUUUACGAUGUCUUGCUAGUGAUUUUUCAAGUUGCAUCUCAUCGUUAACUAAUCUCAUACGGUUGGUGGUUGGUUUUGAGCAUUUUUCUUCCAGCACUUUUUUGUAUUUGAAACUGGCUAUCUUAAUGCCAAUCAAUGCCUUUUUUUUCAUUACUACAUUUUCUACUUAUGAUACUGUUUCAGUAAAGGUUAAAAUACUUCAACUAUCAUCAUCUUGUUUAUCUACUAAGCUGGAACAGAAAAUUGUUGUAAUUUUUAUUUAUUUAUGUUAAUUAAUCAUGCAAAAUGCCUGAGAAAUUUCAUUUGAGUUCAACUUUGUGUACAGAACGAGUGAGAUUUGGUUAGAAUACGAAUUAUGAGAAGGGAAUUCUAUACACAGGACGAGUGAAAUUUGUAGAUAAUGAACAAAAGUUCAGUAUGUCUCUCUGAAACUACUUGAAAAGAUAGUGAAAUUUGUAGAUGAUGAACAAAAUUUCAGUAUCUCUCUGAAGCUACUAGAAACGAUAAAGAACAUUGCAUUUUUAAAAACAAAGCAGCAUUUCAACUGCUACUGAAAUUUGAUUCUAGUUGUGAUUUAACAUUUGUCUAACAACUAUUUUCAUGAAUCCUGAAAGUGAUAUCAAUGAAAAGUUAACCCAAAGGACAACCUAGCUAAUAAUUAGAUCACCCUCCCUUGUGUUCUGACAUGGUAAGCUGUAAUGAAUCAAGACUAGCUGGAUUAGUGAAGAACAUAAUGUUAAAAUAUCAACUUCAAAGCCACGCUAAAAAUAUUUUCUUUUUCUUGUUUUGAGAAAGAAGAAACUGAUGCAUGAACAUGGAGCAGGGUUUAAAAAAACCACCAAUUAACACCGAAUUACAGGUCUACUAUGAGACCUUUCACUGGUGAUCUUCUGCGAGGCUUGACUUGGAUAAUCUUCUACACAACUAUUGUUACAUCUGAGAUGAUGAUGAUGAUGAACAGUUAGCUAGCUGAAUGAAGUUUAUGUGUCCCCAACUGAUCAUUUAUACUGCUUCUGGGUUGGUCAUGUGCAAGAAAAUUAGGUUGUUGUUCUGUCAAUUAACUUUUAGAUCAUAAAUUAAUUUCAAUAGCUGGGUGUUUCCCAGGAUCAGGGCUAGUGAACAAGAUCCAAUGUGUGGUGAGCUGUGCAUCCUCCCACCGGGUAAAGCAUUGUCAAUUUUUAUUCUUGGAGUCUGCUUGUCUGCACCGAUACAAUUCUACUGUUUGUUAUAUAGGAAGUUCUAAGAAAUCUUUUGUCUUA
This is a long non-coding RNA of Musa acuminata AAA Group (dessert banana), 2725 nucleotides long. RefSeq lists it as uncharacterized. The record is from RefSeq and is a predicted model, not a curated record. Lineage: Eukaryota; Viridiplantae; Streptophyta; Magnoliopsida; Zingiberales; Musaceae. The transcript is spliced from 2 exons.